GCUGGAGGUUUCUGCAUAUGUGAGGUCUUCUAAAGCAUUACAGAAUCAUAUUCAGAAGAUCUAUGGUUAAUGUGUGGUCUAUUGGGAUCUUGCAGCUUGAAAGCAAGCCAGGUUCGGGUCACAGAAGUGGAGAGCUGCAGGUGUUGCUUUACACUCUCAUCCUUUGCCCUCAGUAGUGCAGUGUUCCUCAUAAAAUGUAAUUAAGUCUUCAUGAGCCCUUUCUGAUGGUCAAGAUGUUCUCUCCUCCCACCCAUAAACUACUUGCAAGAUGUCACUUUUUCCCUGGGCGCCCAGCUUUAUUCAGGUUCAUCUCAUUCACUUCAUUACCAUUUCGUGGAUUGUAACGUUUGGACUCUAAAAGCUGAGGAUUGAUCCCACAUUGCAGAUUGAGCUCCCUCCUCCUUGCCAUGGGAAGGUGACCUAUGCAGUGGAUGCUACAGUGAGUGCUCUCCUAUAGGGAGUGACUUUUGGCUUCCCACACAAGCUCCAGUUUGAGGUUUCCACCCUCCAAGUGGCUGCAGGGCUGCAGAGGAUGGUUAUUGUACUUACAGAAUGCUCCUGUGUGCACCAGUGAACAACACUCGCUUUCACACCAAUGAACACAAAUGAGCUUGAAGCCAGUAUUUUCUCAAUAUGAAAGACUAUUUGUGCAGCUACUUUCUGGCAUUCCUUGUGCUCUAAUUACAGCUACUUUCUCUUUCUUUGCUUCAUUAAUGAAAGAAGACACGUAAGGCUCAAUUCACAAAGGCAUUUAAACAUCCGACUCCUGCUGAAAUCCCUGGUGAAUCUCAGCGGUAGACACUCCUCAGCUCUCCUUUGGUUCACAAAGUAGUGCUGGGGACCUGCAUGGCGUUACUUCUGCUUUGUACUAAGCUUGGGCGAUUGAAGAAUGAGAGCCUCUGCAUUUGCAAGAGAAUGUUUCAGUGACAGAAAUAUGAACAGGGAGGCUGAUGAUACCAGUGCUGUUUCACAGCUCCGCACGUGAUGUUGUGGGUAACCUUGAAUAAGUCCCAUCUUCUGUCUGCAGCCACCCGGCACUGCCUUAUAAGUUUGUGAGCCUCUCUGCUUUCAUGUCCACAGAUAAUCCAGUCUGGGCUUUCCAGAGGGGACUGGAGGUUUAUGUCCCCUUUGGGAUUCUUACUUCCUCAGUCUCUUUGAAAAUGCCAAUUUUAGAGAUUACUGCAAGGAAAGAGCAACACGAACCAGAGCGGGCAGGAAGAGUCUGUCAGUCAACUUGGUGUUUCCAUCUUUAAAAACAGGAAAGAAGACACCAGAAAAACAUCAUGGGCAAAAUUAAUUGCCUUAUGUUUAUAACUGGAGGAUCUGAAGUUUCCUUCUGGAGUCACUUUUAGUCUUCCUACAUCUGUUCGUAGGCAGGGCUGUGGUCUCCUGCUUCUGAGUGGCAAUGUGUCUGUAGGCAGAACCUGUUGAUUGUUUACCACUGCUGUUUUGCCUUGCAUCUCUGUCACAUUUUCCAAGGGCAACGUGAUUCACCGACAAAAGACUGUGCUUUGGUGGAAAGCGCUGAAGAGUGGACUGAUCCUCCCCCACGUGUCACUGCUGCAGGGCACGCAGGGAGGACCCCAGAUGCAUUCUGGUGUAUGGAACUAAUAAUGUUUAGUGUUCCUGUCGUGCCCUCAAUUGUACUGCUGGGUUGUACUGCUCUCUGUAUUCAGUAAAUUGCAGGGGAAGAGGGCAGUUAAAGUUUUUGUUUUCCUCCCUUUCAGAUUUUGCCUUAUAGACAUCAGACACUCCAACUCUGGCCUCCCCACUGCAGAACCCAGCUAGGAUACAGCCUGCUAUAAUCAAGUGUGAACAGUUUGUCAUAUGAUGGAAUCAGAUAAUCGUGUAGGUUGGAAAGAUCACUAAGACCAUCUAGUCUACCUGUCAUCCCCCUCAUGCUCAUCAGACCAUGUUCCUUAGUGCCAUACCUCCAUGGCUCUUGAGCACCUUCAGGGACAGUGACACCACCUCCCUGGGCAGCUCUGCCACUGCAUCACCUCUUUCUGAGAAGAAAUUUUUCCUAAUAUCCAGGUGUCAGAUGUGAAGACACUGACUCUAAAAGUCACAGGGAAUGGAAGUGAAACGUUAGGGUGCUAUCAAAAUCCUUAACAAAGCUGAAUCCGCUCAUCUCAUCCCACACCUCUGUGGUAGGGGUGCAGGUCCUGGUGUGCUCACUCACAGCACGUGGCUGGGAUUGGCAGGGGCAUGGGGCUGACAUGGACAAGCACGAGGUGCUCAUGGGCCUGCAAGAGCGAGCCAUCAAUUUCAUCCCAAAGUGGUUUUAGUGAGAAGCCACGCAAGACAAGGAAUGAAUUACUGAGCCCAUUCAUGCUUAGUGAGUUAUUAAGUGUAAGGGCAAAGUCUGCAAGCACUCUCUGUGCUCAAUGUCUGAGUUAAUAAACCAUCACUCAGAGACCAGA
Molecule: non-coding RNA, 2423 nt
Organism: Coturnix japonica (Japanese quail)
Lineage: Eukaryota; Metazoa; Chordata; Aves; Galliformes; Phasianidae
Source: RefSeq, a predicted model, not a curated record